Molecule: ribosomal RNA, 301 nt
Filed under: uncultured bacterium
Lineage: Bacteria
Description: partial 16S ribosomal RNA
Rfam family: Bacterial small subunit ribosomal RNA
Source: RNAcentral
CAGCCGCCGCGGGAAUACAGAGGGUGCGAGCGUUAAUCGGAUUUACUGGGCGUAAAGCGUGCGUAGGCGGCUAAUUGAGUCGGAUGUGAAAUCCCCGAGCUUAACUUGGGAAUUGCAUUCGAUACUGGUUAGCUAGAGUGUGGGAGAGGAUGGUAGAAUUCCAGGUGUAGCGGUGAAAUGCGUAGAGAUCUGGAGGAAUACCGAUGGCGAAGGCAGCCAUCUGGCCUAACACUGACGCUGAGGUACGAAAGCAUGGGGAGCAAACAGGAUUAGAUACCCCCGUAGUCCCUGUCUCUUAUAA